CUGCUGCCUCCCGUAGGAGUUUGGACCGUGUCUCAGUUCCAAUGUGGCCGAUCACCCUCUCAGGUCGGCUACUGAUCGUCGCCUUGGUGAGCCGUUACCUCACCAACAAGCUAAUCAGACGCGAGCUCAUCCAUAUCCGAUAAAUCUUUGAUGGAAAGAAGAUGCCUUCAAACCAUAUUAUGCGGUAUUAUCAGUCGUUUCCAACUGUUAUCCCCCAGACAUGGGCAGAUUGCUCACG
This 238-nucleotide ribosomal RNA is filed under the name uncultured bacterium. RNAcentral describes it as "partial 16S ribosomal RNA". The record is from RNAcentral.